RNAcentral lists this ribosomal RNA (505 nucleotides) under Maudiozyma humilis. RNAcentral describes it as "eukaryotic LSU rRNA". It matches the Rfam family "Eukaryotic large subunit ribosomal RNA", at positions 114 to 635 of the family's 3401-position model. Lineage: Eukaryota; Fungi; Ascomycota; Saccharomycetes; Saccharomycetales; Saccharomycetaceae. The record is from RNAcentral.
UUUGAAAUCUGGUACCUUCGGUGCCCGAGUUGUAAUUUGUAGAGGGCGACUUUGGGGCGGCUCCUUGUCUAUGUUCCUUGGAACAGGACGUCAUAGAGGGUGAGAAUCCCGUGUGGCGAGGAGUGCGGUUCCGUGUAAAGCGCUCUCGAAGAGUCGAGUUGUUUGGGAAUGCAGCUCUAAGUGGGUGGUAAAUUCCAUCUAAAGCUAAAUAUUGGCGAGAGACCGAUAGCGAACAAGUACAGUGAUGGAAAGAUGAAAAGAACUUUGAAAAGAGAGUGAAAAAGUACGUGAAAUUGUUGAAAGGGAAGGGCAUUUGAUCAGACAUGGUGUUUUGCGCCCCCCGCUCCUCGUGGGUGGGGGACUCUCGCAGCUCACUGGGCCAGCAUCAGUUUUGGCGGCCGGACAAAACUGCAGGAACGUAGCUUGCUUCGGGAAGUGUUACAGCCUGCAGGAAUACGGCCAGCCGGGACUGAGGAAUGCGAUUCGUCAAGGAUGCUGGCAUAAU